This 419-nucleotide ribosomal RNA is filed under the name bacterium. RNAcentral describes it as "partial 16S ribosomal RNA". It matches the Rfam family "Bacterial small subunit ribosomal RNA", at positions 355 to 776 of the family's 1533-position model. The record is from RNAcentral.
UGGGGGAUAUUGCACAAUGGGCGAAAGCCUGAUGCAGCGACGCCGCGUGGGGGAUGAAGGCCUUCGGGUUGUAAACUUCUUUUGCUCUGAACAAGGCAUGCUAAUGGGUGUGUUGAGUGUAGGGGUUGAUUAGCGCCGGCUAACUACGUGCCAGCAGCCGCGGUAAUACGUAGGGCGCGAGCGUUGUCCGGAAUUAUUCGGCGUAAAGGGCUUGUAGGUGGCUGGUCGCGUCUGUCGUGAAAGCUCAUGGCUUAACUGUGGGUUUGCGGUGGGUACGGGCUGGCUUGAGUGCAGUAGGGGAGGCUGGAAUUCCUGGUGUAGCGGUGGAAUGCGCAGAUAUCAGGAGGAAUACCGGUGGCGAAGGCGGGUCUCUGGGCUGUUACUGACACUGAGGAGCGAAAGCAUGGGGAGCGAACAGG